Molecule: transfer RNA, 77 nt
Filed under: Aquabacterium sp. NJ1
Lineage: Bacteria; Pseudomonadati; Pseudomonadota; Betaproteobacteria; Burkholderiales; Sphaerotilaceae
Also listed under: 5 other names
Description: tRNA-Gln
Rfam family: tRNA
About the family: Transfer RNA (tRNA) molecules are approximately 80 nucleotides in length.
Source: RNAcentral
AGGGGAAUCGCCAAGUUGGUUAAGGCAUCGGAUUUUGAUUCCGACAUACGAGGGUUCGAAUCCUUCUUCCCCUGCCA